AGAGUUUGAUCCUGGCUCAGAUUGAACGCUGGCGGCAGGCUUAACACAUGCAAGUCGAGCGGUAACAGGUCCAUCUUGCUGGAUGCUGACGAGCGGCGGACGGGUGAGUAAUGCAUAGGAAUCUGCCCGGUAGUGGGGGAUAACCUGGGGAAACCCAGGCUAAUACCGCAUACGCCCUACGGGGGAAAGCAGGGGCUCUUCGGACCUUGCGCUAUCGGAUGAGCCUAUGUCGGAUUAGCUAGUUGGUAGGGUAAAGGCCUACCAAGGCGACGAUCCGUAACUGGUCUGAGAGGAUGAUCAGCCACAUCGGGACUGAGACACGGCCCGAACUCCUACGGGAGGCAGCAGUGGGGAAUAUUGGACAAUGGGGGUAACCCUGAUCCAGCCAUGCCGCGUGUGUGAAGAAGGCCUUCGGGUUGUAAAGCACUUUCAGCGAGGAAGAAGGCCUGGUGGCCAAUACCCACCAGGAAGGACAUCACUCGCAGAAGAAGCACCGGCUAACUCCGUGCCAGCAGCCGCGGUAAUACGGAGGGUGCGAGCGUUAAUCGGAAUUACUGGGCGUAAAGCGCGCGUAGGUGGCUUGAUAAGCCGGUGUGAAAGCCCUGGGCUCAACCUGGGAACGGCAUCCGGAACUGUCAAGCUAGAGUGCAGGAGAGGAAGGUAGAAUUCCCGGUGUAGCGGUGAAAUGCGUAGAGA
RNAcentral lists this ribosomal RNA (696 nucleotides) under uncultured bacterium. Its description in RNAcentral is "bacterial SSU rRNA". It matches the Rfam family "Bacterial small subunit ribosomal RNA", at positions 8 to 696 of the family's 1533-position model. The record is from RNAcentral.